GUACACUCCUGCGGGAGGCAGCAGUGGGGAAUUUUGGACAAUGGGCGAAAGCCUGAUCCAGCAAUGCCGCGUGUGUGAAGAAGGCCUUCGGGUUGUAAAGCACUUUUGUCCGGAAAGGAAUCCUUGGCUCUAAUACAGUCGGGGGAUGACGGUACCGGAAGAAUAAGCACCGGCUAACUACGUGCCAGCAGCCGCGGUAAUACGUAGGGUGCGAGCGUUAAUCGGAAUUACUGGGCGUAAAGCGUGCGCAGGCGGUUUGCUAAGACCGAUGUGAAAUCCCCGGGCUCAACCUGGGAACUGCAUUGGUGACUGGCAGGCUAGAGUAUAGCAGAGGGGGGUAGAAUUCCACGUGUAGCAGUGAAAUGCGUAGAGAUGUGGAGGAAUACCGAUGGCGAAGGCAGCCCCCUGGGCCAAUACUGACGCUCAUGCACGAAAGCGUGGGGAGCAAACAGGAUUAGAAACCCUAGUAGUCCCAUGAU
Molecule: ribosomal RNA, 479 nt
Filed under: uncultured organism
Description: partial 16S ribosomal RNA
Rfam family: Bacterial small subunit ribosomal RNA
Source: RNAcentral